This 234-nucleotide ribosomal RNA is filed under the name uncultured bacterium. Its description in RNAcentral is "partial 16S ribosomal RNA". It matches the Rfam family "Bacterial small subunit ribosomal RNA", at positions 118 to 347 of the family's 1533-position model. The record is from RNAcentral.
UGAGGAACAUGACUUUCGGCGGGGGAUAGCCGGCCCAACGGCCGGGUAAUACCGCGUACGACCUUUUGGGGACAUCCCCGAUUGGUGAAAGCAGCAAUGCGCCGAAAGAGUGCCUCGCGGCCUAUCAGCUAGUUGGUGGGGUAAUGGCUCACCAAGGCGACGACGGGUAGCUGGUCUGAGAGGAUGGCCAGCCACAUUGGGACUGAGACACGGCCCAGACUCCUACGGGAGCAG